This 82-nucleotide transfer RNA is filed under the name Candidatus Falkowiibacteriota bacterium. RNAcentral describes it as "tRNA-Leu". It matches the Rfam family "tRNA". From Rfam's summary of the family: Transfer RNA (tRNA) molecules are approximately 80 nucleotides in length. Lineage: Bacteria; Candidatus Falkowiibacteriota. The record is from RNAcentral.
GCGGACGUGGUGAAACUGGUAGACACGCUAGCCUUAGGAGCUAGUGGAGAAAUCCGUGUGGGUUCAAGUCCCUCCGUCCGCA